AAUCAAUCAAUUUGGAGUGAAAUAAAGAAAAAUGACUUGAAGAGGACUUGCACACCAAGCGAGUGCCCACAAUCAUGCAUGCACUCUCAAUCAUACAAUUAGAUAAUUGUGUAGUUAAGAGGGCAUGUUCAUGGUGCACACUUGUCUUUGAGAACGCUUUGAAAGUAAAUAGAUAGGUACAAGUUAGCGAUAGGUGUAGCUUAAUUUUACGAAUAACAAAUCAAGGGAUCCAUUUAUUGGCAAGAUUUUUAGGUGGUUUAACCAUGGGAAACGUCAAGGAAGUCAAGCUGCUCAAUUUUUAGUUUCAGUCUAUAGCUAUCACGGGAGGUUGAAAAGGAGAUGUACAAGCUAGUAUGGUUGAAGGAAAAGAAGGGUAGGGAUCUAAAUUUGAUCAAUUAUGUAUAUUAAAGAUUAUAAUCAACAAGUCUUAUCAGUUGAUAGUAAGAUCAAAGAGAGAUAGAGAUGCUAUUUUGAUCAGCUGUUCAAUUCAAGUCAUGGGAUGACUUUACAAAUUUUAACAUUCUUUUGACAGAGAAGAAUCAUAACUACACUUUUAGAAUCAGAUUUGUUGAAGUUAAAGAGGCCAUGAAAAAUAUAAAGAUAUGAAGAGCUUGUGGCAGAUAUUAUCCAUAUAAGAAGUAUAAAAGUGCCUUUUCGAGAUUGGAGUAGCUUGGCUAACCAAGCAAUUCAAUGUCAUUCUAAAAUUUGGAAAAAUGCCAAAUGAUUAGAGGAAGAGCACUUUGGUUCUUAUCUUUAAGUUGUAUAAAUUACUGUGACAUUAACUGAUGAGUUACGCGGUGAAGCUGUAGGAAGAGUGAUUGAAUUCAAACCUAGGGACACUAUUAAGGUAUCAGAGAAAUAGUUUGGCUUUAUGCUUGGUAGAUUUGCAAUAUAGCCUAUUUUUCUAUUAAAAUGAUUAAUGAAAAUUUAUGGGAGAGGAAGAAAGAUCCUCACAUUGUAUUGAUUGACCUUGAAAAUGCAUAUGAUAUAUUCUUUGAUAGGUGUUAGAGAAGAAAAGAGUUUAUCUUGUAUAUAUGCCAUUAAAGACAUGUACGAGGGGGAGGUUACAAGUGUAAGAACAAUGGGAGGAGUACAGAUGAGCUCCCCUUAACAUUGGGUUUAAAUUUGAGUUCGUACUUGCUCAUUUAUGGAUGAGCUUAUAAGUCAUAUUCAAUAUGAUAUCCCAUGAUGCAUGUUAUUUGUAGAUAAUGUUAUUUUAGUGGAUGAAACUAGUGAAAGAG
This 1241-nucleotide unclassified non-coding RNA is filed under the name Hevea brasiliensis (rubber tree). Lineage: Eukaryota; Viridiplantae; Streptophyta; Magnoliopsida; Malpighiales; Euphorbiaceae. The record is from RNAcentral.